Molecule: microRNA, 22 nt
Filed under: Monodelphis domestica (gray short-tailed opossum)
Lineage: Eukaryota; Metazoa; Chordata; Mammalia; Didelphimorphia; Didelphidae
Description: mdo-miR-12359-5p
Source: miRBase by way of RNAcentral
AGAGCGUGGUCCAGGUGUGCAC